RNAcentral lists this ribosomal RNA (468 nucleotides) under uncultured bacterium. Its description in RNAcentral is "partial 16S ribosomal RNA". It matches the Rfam family "Bacterial small subunit ribosomal RNA", at positions 28 to 507 of the family's 1533-position model. The record is from RNAcentral.
GACGAACGCUGGCGGCGUGCUUAACACAUGCAAGUCGAACGGAAAGGCCCUGCUUUUGUGGGGUGCUCGAGUGGCGAACGGGUGAGUAACACGUGAGUAACCUGCCCUUGACUUUGGGAUAACUUCAGGAAACUGGGGCUAAUACCGGAUAGGAUCUCCUGCUGCAUGGUGGGGGUUGGAAAGUUUCGGCGGGUGGGGAUGGACUCGCGGCUUACCAGCUUGUUGGUGGGGUAGUGGCUUACCAAGGCUUUGACGGGUAGCCGGCCUGAGAGGGUGACCGGCCACAUUGGGACUGAGAUACGGCCCAGACGCCUACGGGAGGCAGCAGUGGGGAAUAUUGCACAAUGGGCGGAAGCCUGAUGCAGCAACGCCGCGUGCGGGAUGACGGCCUUCGGGUUGUAAACCGCUUUCGCCUGUGACGAAGCGUGAGUGACGGUAAUGGGUAAAGAAGCAACGGCUAACUACGUG